CUCAACGCGAGCUCACAUCAAAAGCAGGUGAUACGCGUAGAUUAAUAAUUAAUUUUCCAGCACAAGAAAAGCAUUUGAAUUUCGCAAUGAAAUUUAUAUUAAAGUGGCACUUUUAAAUCGCGAAACAAAUAUAGAGAAAAACAAAGAUUUCAAUAUUAGUCGUGCUUGAAACGCAAAUGGCGCGUUACAAGAUUGUCUUCUACAUUUUUGCUCAAAAUGUUCAGCUUAUCAAAAUCAUCAACUUUUCCUUCUUCGCUGAAAAUUUAUUUGCGUAUCGUUAAUUUGAGAAAAUGUUUGAAACAAUGAGACGAUCGAAAAACGCGGCGAAAACUAUUUUUCUUGUUGUUAUUUUGUUUUAUGUUUUAUUUUAUUUAAAUUUAUGUCUGUACAAUUCAUUUGGCUCUUCCAGAAUGAAAGAGACUGUCACAUUUUCCAAAAUUUUUACUCCCGAAAGCCCAAAAUUUGGAGCUUUUGGAGUUUCGAACGCAGGCGAUAUUUAUACUAGCAAUUUACAAUCAGGAAGUAACAUAUCAAAAUCCGUUUUGGAGAGUCAAAAAUUUGACGCAGAUCGUCGAACUUUUAGCCAAUACGAUCCUGUUGAUCCGAAUCGGUUAUCGGAAAAUGCAAUUAACGUCUCUAGAUUACAACUCGACGCUCUUGCGUACUCUCGCUGUAUCGAAGAGUUCAAAUAUUUUUACCGAGUUCAAAUAUUACAUAAUGUUAUAAUUGACCCAAAUGAAGGUCAAAUUUCGAAAGAAAAUCGCGGUGAGUUUUUCUCAUUUACGGAAAAGUUUAUGACAAUGCUUUGUAUACAUCAUUUGCCUCAUCGACUAGUUCAUCAGACGAAGUAUUUCAAAGCUAUGUCUGUUGUUUCAACCGAAUUCGCCAAAAAACUUUCGAAGACUAAAAACCACGCGUACGAAUGGAUGAUUGCAGUCGUGAGAGAAGAAUACGCAAAUGCCUAUUGGAUGGUCAUGGACGUGUUCGACCUAUUUCAUAUCAUUCGGGCCAUAGAUAAAAGCGUCCAGGUCAUACUACUCGAUAACCAUCCGAAAUCAACUAUGGACCAAUUAUGGCGAAUUUAUUUCGACGAUGUUCUGUAUUUGCCAAGUUUGAAAAUCUCAAACGGUGUAGACCCUUCAAAAUCUUUAGUUUUCGCUGAGAACUUGAUUUUCAGACCGAAUCGACAAGGAAGCGUUUUUAAAAAUCAAAUGCAAACCGGUUCAAUUUCUUUUAGUCAGUUUCGAAAUGAAGGUUAUCAGAAAGUAGGCGUAAGAUUAGAGGCCAGAAACUGUUCGCGUUUACGGGUUACAAUAGUUUGGCGGAGAAAUUACGUCAACCAUGCUGGAAAUCCGCAAGGAGAAAUUAAGCGAAAAAUAACAAAUGAGCAAGAAGUUAUGCAAGCUAUCAGGUCGUUUAAAAACGUCGAAAUCACAGAAGCUUCUUUGGAACUCAUGUCUGUGAAAGAGCAAAUACAUCUAAUGAGUCGGACUGAUGUUUUCUUCGGAGUCCAUGGUGCUGGCCAUACUAUGGCUGUUUACAUGCCGCCAGGAGGUAUGGUCGUUGAAAUCACAACUCCUAGUAAAAGGUCAAAUGGUCACAUGAAGCAAGUGGCCGUGAAUGCGGGUCAAAGUCACAUUCUUCACGUUCUGUCUCCCAGCAGAAAAGAAGCCUCGACUGACUCGAGUUAUUACGUAAGACCGGACGUGGUUCGAUCGCUGAUGGAGAAAUCUGUUCACCAGACGUGUGAUUACAACUGAACAAAAACACCUGAAGAAAUCCAAAACAUUCGGUUUUCAUUGAUGCGACAUUGAACUUAAAUGUUUUUCAACUCGAUUUUGGAAAGUGUUAAUAGGCGCCCGAAAACUCAAUCUGGAGAAAAUUGUUCAAAAA
Symsagittifera roscoffensis is the source of this 1893-nucleotide long non-coding RNA. RefSeq lists it as uncharacterized. The transcript is spliced from 3 exons. Lineage: Eukaryota; Metazoa; Xenacoelomorpha; Acoela; Convolutidae. The record is from RefSeq and is a predicted model, not a curated record.